CUCAGGCGGGGGGAGGGCGGAGAAAGAGAAAGAACGAAGUAACAAUACAAAGCAAAUUGAGUGCUUGCAUUUAACUGUAUAUGACAUUAAGACGAGUGGCGAACUGGUGAGUAACACGUGGGUAACUUGCCCCGAAGCGGGGGAUAACAUUUGGAAACAGGUGCUAAUACCGCAUAACAACAAAAACCACAUGGUUUUUGUUUAAAAGAUGGUUUCGGCUAUCACUUUGGGAUGGACCCGCGGCGUAUUAGCUAGUUGGUGAGGUAAUGGCUCACCAAGGCAAUGAUACGUAGCCGACCUGAGAGGGUAAUCGGCCACAUUGGGACUGAGACACGGCCCAAACUCCUACGGGAGGCAGCAGUAGGGAAUCUUCCACAAUGGACGAAAGUCUGAUGGAGCGACGCCGCGUGAGUGAUGAAGGGUUUCGGCUCGUAAAACUCUGUUGUUGGAGAAGAACGGGUGUCAGAGUAACUGUUGACAUCGUGACGGUAUCCAACCACAAAGCCACGGCUAACUACGUGCCAGCAGCCGCGGUAAUACGUAGGUGGCAAGCGUUGUCCGGAUUUAUUGGGCGUAAAGCGAGCGCAGGCAGCUCUUUAGGUCUGAUGUGAAAGCAUUCGGCUUCCCCCGACAAUAGCAUCGGAAAU
Molecule: ribosomal RNA, 647 nt
Filed under: Lentilactobacillus hilgardii
Lineage: Bacteria; Bacillati; Bacillota; Bacilli; Lactobacillales; Lactobacillaceae
Description: bacterial SSU rRNA
Rfam family: Bacterial small subunit ribosomal RNA
Source: RNAcentral